This 482-nucleotide ribosomal RNA is filed under the name uncultured bacterium. Its description in RNAcentral is "partial 16S ribosomal RNA". It matches the Rfam family "Bacterial small subunit ribosomal RNA", at positions 30 to 507 of the family's 1533-position model. The record is from RNAcentral.
AUUGAACGCUGGCGGCAUGCUUUACACAUGCAAGUCGAACGGUAACAGGCCGCAAGGUGCUGACGAGUGGCGAACGGGUGAGUAAUGUGUCGGAACGUGCCCAGUCGCGGGGGAUAACUACUCGAAAUAGUAGCUAAUACCGCCUACGCUCUAUGGAUGAAAGCGGGGGUCCGUCAGGCCUCGCGUGAUUGGAUCGGCCGAUGUCAGAUUAGGUAGUUGGUGGGGUAAAGGCUCUCUAAGCGAAUGAUCUGUAGCUGGUCUGAUAGGACGCCCAGCCACACGGGGACUGAGACACGGCACAGACUCCUACGGGAGGCAACAGUGGGGAAUUUUGGACGAUGGGCGCAAGCCGGAUCCAGCAAUGCCGCGUGCAGGAAGAAGGACUUCGGGUUGUAAACUGCUUAUGUACGGAGCGAAACGGCGCUGGUUAAUACCCGAGGCUAAUGACGGUACCGGAAGAAUAAGCACCGGCUAACUACGUG